RNAcentral lists this ribosomal RNA (467 nucleotides) under uncultured bacterium. RNAcentral describes it as "partial 16S ribosomal RNA". It matches the Rfam family "Bacterial small subunit ribosomal RNA", at positions 28 to 507 of the family's 1533-position model. The record is from RNAcentral.
GACGAACGCUGGCGGCGUGCUUAACACAUGCAAGUCGAACGGAAAGGCCUCUUUCGGGGGGUACUCGAGUGGCGAACGGGUGAGUAACACGUGAGUAACCUGCCCUUGACUUUGGGAUAACUUCAGGAAACUGGGGCUAAUACCGGAUAGGAGCUCCUGCUGCAUGGCGGGGGUUGGAAAGUUUCGGCGGUUGGGGAUGGACUCGCGGCUUAUCAGCUUGUUGGUGGGGUAGUGGCUUACCAAGGCUUUGACGGGUAGCCGGCCUGAGAGGGUGACCGGCCACAUUGGGACUGAGAUACGGCCCAGACUCCUACGGGAGGCAGCAGUGGGGAAUAUUGCACAAGGGGUGGAAGCCUGAUGCAGCAACGCCGUGUGCGGGAUGACGGCCUUCGGGUUGUAAACCGCUUUCGCUCAUGACGAAGCUUUGUGUGACGGUAGUGGGUAAAGAAGCACCGGCUAACUACGUG